RNAcentral lists this ribosomal RNA (492 nucleotides) under uncultured bacterium. RNAcentral describes it as "partial 16S ribosomal RNA". It matches the Rfam family "Bacterial small subunit ribosomal RNA", at positions 29 to 507 of the family's 1533-position model. The record is from RNAcentral.
AGUGAACGCUGGCGGUAGGCCUAACACAUGCAAGUCGAACGGCAGCACAGUAAGAGCUUGCUCUUACGGGUGGCGAGUGGCGGACGGGUGAGGAAUACAUCGGAAUCUACUUUUUCGUGGGGGAUAACGUAGGGAAACUUACGCUAAUACCGCAUACGACCUACGGGUGAAAGCAGGGGAUCUUCGGACCUUGCGCGAUUGAAUGAGCCGAUGUCGGAUUAGCUAGUUGGCGGGGUAAAGGCCCACCAAGGCGACGAUCCGUAGCUGGUCUGAGAGGAUGAUCAGCCACACUGGAACUGAGACGCGGUCCAGACUCCUACGGGAGGCAGCAGUGGGGAAUAUUGGACAAUGGGCGCAAGCCUGAUCCAGCCAUACCGCGUGGGUGAAGGAGGCCUUCGGGUUGUAAAGCCCUUUUGUUGGGAAAGAAAAGCAGCAGGUUAAUACCCCGCUGUUCUGACGGUACCCAAAGAAUAAGCACCGGCUAACUUCGUG